AUUGAACGCUGGCGGCGUGCUUAACACAUGCAAGUCAAUCGGUAACAGGUGUAGCAAUACAUGCUGACGAGAGGCGGACGGGUGAGUAAUGCUUGGGAAUCUGCCUAUUAGUGGGGGACAACCCGGGGAAACUCGGGCUAAUACCGCAUACGCUCUACGGAGGAAAGCCGGGGACCGCAAGGCCUGGCGCUAAUAGAUGAGCCCAAGUCGGAUUAGCUAGUUGGUAGGUAACGGCCUACCAAGGCGACAAUCCGUAGCUGGUCUGAGAGGACGACCAGCCACACCGGAACUGAGACACGGUCCGGACUCCUACGGGAGGCAGCAGUGGGGAAUAUUGGACAAUGGGGGCAACCCUGAUCCAGCGACGCCGCGUGGGUGAAGAAGGCCUGC
This 390-nucleotide ribosomal RNA is filed under the name uncultured bacterium. RNAcentral's name for it is "bacterial SSU rRNA". It matches the Rfam family "Bacterial small subunit ribosomal RNA", at positions 29 to 419 of the family's 1533-position model. The record is from RNAcentral.